CCCCUCCGCCGCCCCAGCCAGUCGCAGUGUACGGGCUUCUCAUUGCAGUGGCUUCUCUUGCUGAGGAGCACAGGCUCUAGAGCACUCGGGCUUUAGUAGUUGUAACACAUGGGCUCAGUAGUUGCAGUUCCUGGGUUCUAGAGCACAGGCUCAACAGUUGUGGUGCCCAGGCUUGAUUGCCCCAUGGCAUGUGGGAUCUUCCCAGAUCAAGGAUGGAAUCCAUGUCUCCUGCAUUGGCACGUGGCUUCUUUACCACUGAACCACCAGGGAAGCCCUAAAGCUUUCUGAUUGGCGCAAACCACCCAGCAGGAGGACGCUUACUGGAGCCUGACUAGAAAGAGUAACAAUUUUAUGUGCUCAGCCCUAGGUUCGGACUAAGGAGACCUGGUAGUGAUUCGUAUAUCUGUUGGUUUUGGACGAGGCCUGAGAAUCUACAUUUCUUGCAAGUUCCUAGGUGAUGCUGAAGAUGCAUGUCUGUGGACCACACUGCAGGUUUGACAGAAGUGUUAUGUGAGACACUGAUGUGAAGAUUCUGCCUCCCAGGAGCAUUUUGGUCCCUAGUAUCGAGCACUACCCUCCUCCCACCAUCCUCUCUUAAAAUUCAAACAUUCCUUGAAAGGUUAACAAAUUCAUUGUGAACAGGGAAUUGGUGACCAUUUCAAAAUGCACAUCCUAAGAGCAAUGAAACACAGAAAAAGAAACCAAAAUGGGAAGGGACACAGGAGAGGCAAAAGUUGUUGAAGAUGAAAGUGAUCCAGCAAGAGACUAACGUGACAGGAUAAGUCUUCAAGAAAGAUAUCUGCAAAGAAGAUGUCUGUCCCCCCUUAUCACAGGCACAGGAGGUGCCCCAUUAUGUGACCACUGGACCCAGCUUUUCUACAAUGAGACUACCUGAAUGUCUUACUGGUGACCACUUAAGCUCUUCUGAUUCGUGCUGGCUAAUUUUAUAGGACCGUUUUUACUAAAUAUUUCCAACACACUAUAUCCUGUUGUUUAGAAGACCAUAUUUUAGAAGACUCAAAUCUUGGUUUUUUAUUAGGUCACUAUCUACACCCUUCUCAGAGAAGG
This is a long non-coding RNA of Bos taurus (domestic cattle), 1068 nucleotides long. The record is from Ensembl. Lineage: Eukaryota; Metazoa; Chordata; Mammalia; Artiodactyla; Bovidae.